RNAcentral lists this ribosomal RNA (497 nucleotides) under uncultured bacterium. Its description in RNAcentral is "partial 16S ribosomal RNA". It matches the Rfam family "Bacterial small subunit ribosomal RNA", at positions 28 to 507 of the family's 1533-position model. The record is from RNAcentral.
GAUGAACGCUGGCGGCGUGCCUAAUACAUGCAAGUCGAGCGAACAGACGAGGAGCUUGCUCCUCUGACGUUAGCGGCGGACGGGUGAGUAACACGUGGAUAACCUACCUAUAAGACUGGGAUAACUUCGGGAAACCGGAGCUAAUACCGGAUAAUAUAUUUAACCACAUGGUUCAAGAGUGAAAGACGGUUUUGCUGUCACUUAUAGAUGUAUCCGCUCCGAAUUAGCUAGUUGGUAAGGUAACGGCUUACCAAGCCAACGAUGAGUACCCGACCUGAGAGGGGGAUCGGCCACACGGGAACUGAGACCCGGUCCAGACUCCUACGGGAGGAAGCAGUAGGGAAUCUUGCGCAAUGGGCGAAAGCUUGACGGAGCAACGCCGCGUGAGUGAUGAAGGUCUUCGGAUCGUAAAACUCUGUUAUUAGGGAAGAACAAAUGUGUAAGUAACUAUGCACGUCUUGACGGUACCUAAUCAGAAAGCCACGGCUAACUACGUG